GGUGACCUCACCAAGCUUCCGUGGGAUAGUUCCACACUCAUGGUCAUGCAGAUAACCCUGGAACCAAGGGAAUUUUUCUGUCAUGUUCUCUGGAGUUUUACGUAGAAGACUCUCAGACAAAUUGGCCUGCCUUAAAGAAGCUCAGACAAACCCAGCUGCCAGGAAAGUACAUGCCCCAACCUGUUGAGGUGCCUAGAGGCUGUGCAGUGUGCUCCAGGUUUCCAGCUUUGAUGGUGGCCUAAAGAUCUGUGAGUUUACUUAAGCUGCUAAGAAGAGGCAUAGUCAAGAUUUGAACGAUAACAGACAAUUACCAUUGCUCUGUUUGCAGAACAGUGUUGGGUGGGAGCACAACUAAGUCUGGCACUAAACAGAACAGCAUCCACUUCCUACUGUGGCAUCUCACUGAAAAUGUGACCUCAGAUACAGGUCACUAAAAGCAGCCCGUUCAAGGAGAUUCUGAAGCCUAGUACUGACUUAGCUUGGCCGACAUCAAGAAUUUGCCAUAUUUUGGAUUCUUUGAGGUGGACACUUGUGGCAUAGCUUCUUCUUCAGAGCAGGGAUGUUCAACAGUAGCCAAUGGUGGAAAUGGCAGCUAUCUGGUCAACAAAAUAUAACUGGGAACUGUAGUGUGAAAUACCAAGUGAGUUUUUCUCAAGAGGUUAAUCAUAUGG
Long non-coding RNA from Peromyscus eremicus (cactus mouse), 671 nucleotides. RefSeq lists it as uncharacterized. The record is from RefSeq and is a predicted model, not a curated record. Lineage: Eukaryota; Metazoa; Chordata; Mammalia; Rodentia; Cricetidae. The transcript is spliced from 4 exons.